GAUGAACGCUGGCGGCGUGCCUAAUACAUGCAAGUCGAGCGAACGGACGAGAAGCUUGCUUUUCUGAUGUUAGCGGCGGACGGGUGAGUAACACGUGGAUAACCUACCUAUAAGACUGGGAUAACUUCGGGAAACCGGAGCUAAUACCGGAUAAUAUUUUGAACCGCAUGGUUCAAAAGUGAAAGACGGUCUUGCUGUCACUUAUAGAUGGAUCCGCGCUGCAUUAGCUAGUUGGUAAGGUAACGGCUUACCAAGGCAACGAUGCAUAGCCGACCUGAGAGGGGGGAUGCGCCACCGUGGAACUGGACACGGGACGACCCUCCUGGGGGGGGCGGCAGGGGGGAAUCUUCGGAAAGGGGCGAAAGCCGGAGGGCGCAACGCGGGGGGGGGGAUGAGGGUCUUGGGAUCGUAAACCUUUGUUUUGGGGAAAAAACAUAUGUGUAAGUACGUGUGCAAAUCUUGACGGUCCCUAAUAAGAAAGCCCCGGCUAACUCCGUC
Molecule: ribosomal RNA, 498 nt
Filed under: uncultured bacterium
Lineage: Bacteria
Description: partial 16S ribosomal RNA
Rfam family: Bacterial small subunit ribosomal RNA
Source: RNAcentral